Molecule: ribosomal RNA, 255 nt
Filed under: Proteus mirabilis
Lineage: Bacteria; Pseudomonadati; Pseudomonadota; Gammaproteobacteria; Enterobacterales; Morganellaceae
Description: partial 23S ribosomal RNA
Rfam family: Bacterial large subunit ribosomal RNA
Source: RNAcentral
CGAGAUUCCCCUAGUAGCGGCGAGCGAACGGGGAGCAGCCCAGAGUCUUAAUCAAUAGCAGUGUCAGGAGAACGGUCUGGAAAGUCCGGCAGUAAAGGGUGAUAGCCCCGUAUCUGAAGAUGCUGUUAUUGUGAACUCGACGAGUAGGGCGGGACACGUGUUAUCCUGUCUGAAUAUGGGGGGACCAUCCUCCAAGGCUAAAUACUCCUGAUUGACCGAUAGUGAACCAGUACCGUGAGGGAAAGGCGAAAAGAA